RNAcentral lists this ribosomal RNA (743 nucleotides) under uncultured Oribacterium sp. RNAcentral's name for it is "bacterial SSU rRNA". It matches the Rfam family "Bacterial small subunit ribosomal RNA", at positions 28 to 776 of the family's 1533-position model. The record is from RNAcentral. Lineage: Bacteria; Bacillati; Bacillota; Clostridia; Lachnospirales; Lachnospiraceae.
GAUGAACGCGGGCGGCGUGCCUAACACUGCAAGUCGAACGAGUUGCGUAUCGGAAAGCUUCGGCCGGAAGAUGCGAAUCUAGUGGCGGACGGGUGAGUAACACGUGGGUAACCUGAUUAUGGAGGGGGAUAACAGAGAGAAAUCACUGCUAAUACCGCAUAAGCACACAUUGCUGCAUGGCAGAGUGUGAAAAGAUUUAUCGCCAUAAGAUGGACCCGCGUCUGAUUAGCCAGUUGGCAGGGUAAAAGCCUACCAAAGCAACGAUCAGUAGCCGAUCUGAGAGGAUGACCGGCCACAUUGGGACUGAGACACGGCCCAAACUCCUACGGGAGGCAGCAGUGGGGAAUAUUGCACAAUGGGGGAAACCCUGAUGCAGCGACGCCGCGUGAGUGAAGAAGUAUUUCGGUAUGUAAAGCUCUAUCAGCAGGGAAGAUAAUGACAGUACCUGACUAAGAAGCCCCGGCUAACUACGUGCCAGCAGCCGCGGUAAUACGUAGGGGGCAAGCGUUAUCCGGAUUUACUGGGUGUAAAGGGAGCGUAGACGGAGUGGCAAGUCUGAAGUGAAAACCCUGGGCUUAACCUGGGGACUGCUUUGGAAACUGUUAAUCUAGAGUGUUGGAGAGGUAAGUGGAAUUCCUGGUGUAGCGGUGAAAUGCGUAGAUAUCAGGAAGAACACCGGAGGCGAAGGCGGCUUACUGGACAAUAACUGACGUUGAGGCUCGAAAGCGUGGGGAUCAAACAGG